UGGGGAAUCUUGCACAAUGGGGGCAACCCUGAUGCAGCGACGCCGCGUGAGCGAUGAAGCCCUUCGGGGCGUAAAGCUCUUUCGACCGGAACGAUAAUGACGGUACCGGGAGAAGAAGCUGCGGCUAACUACGUGCCAGCAGCCGCGGUAAUACGUAGGCAGCAAGCGUUGUUCGGAGUUACUGGGCGUAAAGAGUGCGUAGGCGGUUUUCUAAGUUCGGUGUGAAAUCUCCCGGCUUAACUGGGAGGGUGCGCCGAAGACUGGGAAGCUGGAGUGUGGGAAAGGCAGGCGGAAUUCCUGGUGUAGCGGUCGAAUGCGUAGAUAUCAGGAGGAACACCUGCGGUGUAGACAGCUUUCUGGACCAAAACUGACGCUGAGGCACGAAAGCGUGGGUAGCAAACA
Molecule: ribosomal RNA, 402 nt
Filed under: uncultured bacterium
Lineage: Bacteria
Description: bacterial SSU rRNA
Rfam family: Bacterial small subunit ribosomal RNA
Source: RNAcentral